CUUAAAUAUACUUAUUUUUUAACAAGUACUUAGGUUUUACCAGAAGUGUAGUAAAAAUUUUUUGUUUGUGAUUCCUUACCUUUUGCAUAAUGGUUUAACUAAAACAUUUGAGUUUUCAUUUUCCCGAUUUAAGAAGAUCUAAGAUAGCUUGGUCUAACGGGGCUAUUUUUAGAAAUUUAAUGUUGCAUUAUUAAUCUAAAAAGAAAUCUUAGGGGCGAAACACCUACAAUUCUUAGGAUAUCUGGAUGCUUAGAAAAAGUAUUUAGUACUUUAGACAGUAAGGGAGUGUUGAGAUUUCCUUACCAGUAGAAUAUUUGAUUUGGUAGCAAUAUUUUGAUAUAAAAGUCUUUAGAAACAGUAAAAUAAACAUUUUUCACUAGUAUAAUCUAUUUCUUACUAAGCUUAAUAAUCAAACUUUUAGAUUUUUUUAAUAAUGUUAAGAUUAGUAAUUUUAAUAAAUCUGAGGAAGGAACUCGGCAAAUAAAACUUUCGACUGUUUACCAAAAACAUAGCCUAAAGUGUUUAUUAAUUUUAGGUGAAUCCUGCCCUAUGAAAAAUUUUAAAUGGCCGCAGUACCCUGACUGUGCUAAGGUAGCAUAAUCAAUUGGCCUUUAAUUGAGGUCUAGAAUGAAUGGAUCAAUACGGAAGUGAUCUGUCUCCUUCAGAGUCUGUUGAAGUUAUCUUUAAGGGUGAAAAAGCCUUUAGUACGAAAAUAGACGAGAAGACCCUAAGAGUUUUAAUUAUAAGUAAAGGCUUUUACUUUUUUUUUUUGCUGGGGCGGCAAAGAAACAAUUAACUUUCUUGCUUGUGUUUAUGAAGUCGACGCGAAAUUUUAUGAAGAACCAAUAAACUACCUUAGGGAUAACAGCAUAAUUAUUUUAAUGUUUGUGACCUCGAUGUUGGACUAGGAAAGCUUUAUGGCUAGCCGCCGAAAGUAUUAUGUUCUGUUCGAACACUUUAUCU
RNAcentral lists this ribosomal RNA (963 nucleotides) under Onchidium reevesii. RNAcentral describes it as "16S ribosomal RNA". The stretch from base 450 to 703 matches the Rfam family "Archaeal large subunit ribosomal RNA", at positions 1784 to 2143 of the family's 2987-position model. The record is from RNAcentral. Lineage: Eukaryota; Metazoa; Mollusca; Gastropoda; Systellommatophora; Onchidiidae.